RNAcentral lists this long non-coding RNA (215 nucleotides) under Elaeis guineensis (African oil palm). RNAcentral's name for it is "long non-coding RNA (EGUI_LNC018006)". The record is from RNAcentral. Lineage: Eukaryota; Viridiplantae; Streptophyta; Magnoliopsida; Arecales; Arecaceae.
GGUAACUUCAAUUAGUACAAAAAAUGAUUCAUAUGCUAAUUAGUACAGAAAAUGAUUCAUAUGCUACCGACUUAGUGUUCGAACCUAUGGAGUCAUGCACAAAGUCAAACGACGUAGGAAAGAAUUGACCUAAAUCUAUAAGUUUAAUUUGAAAAUAUGUGGCUUGAUUGAAUAAAUAGAUUAAUUUGAUUAAGAAUUAAGUUAUGGGUCAUACA